Molecule: ribosomal RNA, 253 nt
Filed under: uncultured bacterium
Lineage: Bacteria
Description: partial 16S ribosomal RNA
Rfam family: Bacterial small subunit ribosomal RNA
Source: RNAcentral
UACGUAGGGUGCGAGCGUUAAUCGGAAUUACUGGGCGUAAAGCGUGCGCAGGCGGUUUUGUAAGCCAGAUGUGAAGGCCCCGGGCUUAACCUGGGAAUGGCAUUUGGGACUGCAAGGCUUGAGUGCGGCAGAGGAGACUGGAAUUCCCGGUGUAGCAGUGAAAUGCGUAGAUAUCGGGAGGAAUACCGAUGGCGAAGGCAGGUCUCUGGGCUGACACUGACGCUCAUGCACGAAAUCGUGGGGAGCAAACAGG